This 3823-nucleotide long non-coding RNA is filed under the name Mus musculus (house mouse). Its description in RNAcentral is "long non-coding RNA chr10:107421320-107425143". Lineage: Eukaryota; Metazoa; Chordata; Mammalia; Rodentia; Muridae. The record is from RNAcentral.
UGUACACACAAUAUUUUUUUUUAUUUAGGGUACAUCUAGACAUCUAAUUUGGUUUUCCAUAAUGCAAUGAAUAGACAUUUAAACACCAUAAGCACAAAAAUGUACACACACACACACAUACACACACACACACACACACACACAUACACACACCAAAAAAAACAAAAAACAAACAAACAAAAAAAACGAAAAACAAAAAAUGCAAGCAGAUGGAUGGAUCAUCAAAACAGAGUCCAAUAUUUUAAUAUGUCCAUUUUUUUUCAAAAGCAGAAAAUGGUUCCCACAAGAUACAAAGAAUUUGAUAUUUCAGAUAAUCCUCUAGCAUAGAAAUUUGUGAAGCUCAGCUCACAAGCCAUCCUCCUGAAACUAAACAAAACCAAUUAGAUGUACCCAGCAUGUUCUGUCUCACACCAUCGGGUGGUACUCUUGUCAAUAGCCAUUUCUUACUGCUUUAGAUAGUGCAUCGCCCGCCGGGUGACAAACAGCCAGAAAACCAAGAGCUACACCAAUUUAUUUCAACACUAUCUUAUUGUGGUAACAGAGUCCCAUCCUCAAAAACAUAUCAUUGGUUUUUUUUUUUCCUAGAGAGAGAUUGGGGGAGGGGUCAGCGAGGACCCAGAAUGUUAUAUAAAAUAGGUCAAUAAAAGGGACAAGCAUGACAAAAAAAAUUAAGUGCAGACUAUAUGAGUAUUAUUCAGUUUGAAAGAUAGUUCUCAUUUUUAUAAAAAAAAUUGUAAUAAACCUAUAUUUUAGUUAUCAUUCAACAAAGAUAUUAAAGCUAUUCAGGAGAUGCCACCAAACUCUCAUAAAAGGAAACCAUCUCACCCUUACAAUGAGAAAAUGGUCAUUUCAAUGAGUUUCAGUACAUUGUAUACAUUUGGAGUUUAAGAUGAAUAUAUUUUUCCCUUAGCUGUUAAGUGUUUAGUUAAUACCAAACUUAAUAUAUGAUUUCACAUCAGUACAAGUGUUGUCAGAAGCAACCAUGAAAUAAUCAGAUACUUCAUGCUGGUGUUUUUUAGAAGUCUUUGAAUUUUUUGCUUCAUUUGUACAACAUGUACUGCUGAUGAAUGUUUGCCAGGUUGUUUGUCAAAAUGAAGCAAUCCAUCAUACGCACAGAAGCCAAGGGAUAGGUUAUAUGUCUCCAUGGUCUUACAUACAAAUGGCUGGUUCUCUUUAGUGAAAUUUAGCUCAUUGAAAUGUAAGUAUUUCUCUAGAAUUUUAAUCAAAAGGGACACACACACACCCCUCCAAAGACUUACAGAAACCCCCAGCGCAUCUCUGACAUUUCCCUGAAGCAAGAUGGAAAGGGAAGAACAAAUUCAACCAUGAUUUUUACUGAACUUCUCUAUUCCCAAGAGUCACAUACAGAGUCUCCGACAUGUCUGAUGUCAUUCAUUUAAAGAAAAGACUGUGCUUCCAUGCAGUUCAACAUAGAUACGAUAAGUGGGGUGUUAAAAGUUAGGGAAAAGUGGUUGUAAUUUUUCAACAAGGACCCAAUGAAGUAAAUUUCAGUUUCUUCCUUUGAUCAAGGUAAUAGACAGUGCAAGCAGACUCUGUUCCUUGUCCCAGCUGUGAUUCUAAGGCAAGCACAAAAGGUAAAAGAAUUCCUGAGUCUUUUCACUGGAGCAUUUACAUUUCGAUUCUGUAGCCAUUCGCAACAGAACAUCUGCAGGAAGAUAAUGAGCUUAAAUUACAAUUGACUUUGGAAGAAUAACAGACUCUCCUGUUCCUCAAUCAUGUAAUCAAUAGGGAAUUCUCCAGCAAUGAGAGCCACAGCCAUCUUUCAAGACAAUGUUAAGAUCUAAAUAAAAAAAAAAAUUCUAGCAUUCAGGGCCUUGUUAAGAAGGAAGUUUUUCUCUAAAGAACUUGGCUAGAGACAAAUCACACCCAUUUACAAAUGCGGUUCUCAAACGUGACAUCAAGCCAAUCUUGUUUCCUUUUACAGGGCUGUACAUUCAGGAUUCCAAAGAUGGCACACCUCUUUCAACAUCUAGUACUAUUUGUGGGUGUGUGAAUAAGUCCCCAGGUUUCUCACCUUUCAGCUGGGUUUUGCUUGUAAGCACUUCUAACCCAGACUUAAGCUUCAAACAAGAUGGAGAUACAGAUACCGAGCAUUCUCUGGGGAUUCAGGGACCCCCUUGAGUAAGACUUUCCAUAGCAUCCUAUCCUUCCUCAGACCCCAGACUCCAUCAGACCAAGUCAUGUGACUGUGGUCCUGCAAAUGUGCUGGUGCACUCUGGGCACUCAAUGAGGAUUUGUUGAAUGGGUGAAUUAUUGAAGAGGAGGCUAAAUUAAUUAUUUUUGACUUCUGACUAACAUAUAUUAAUGGGCAUUAUAAUUUUGCAUGCCAUAGCCAAAGCCAGAAUUUCUUCCAAGAUACAUCCUGGAAUCAAAUUAAACAUCUCAAAGGUUCAAGGACCUUUAAGUCAGAAGCAAUGAUUGAGAAUUCAUAUAUAUAUAUGAAAUCUCUCUAGUUCUUUACAAAAAUACAUGGAUAAUUUGGCAUGGAGGCUUCAAAAGUAGAACUUUAUUUGUAAAGUUUACAGAACACAAUGCAUUAGGUUUUUUUUAAGCUGUGACAUCAUAUUAGAUUACCUUACAAUACAAAGGACCCACAAGUCAUUGAAAGCACCAUUUCUAAACGUCGGCUUUCAAAUGCCUCUUCUUUCAUCUUUGACUCCUAGAAUAUACCCGAGAUAAAAAUUACUCACACGACAUCUCCCUCCCGAACAUCUACAUGUAUUUAUUUAUUUAACAGAUAUGUCUGUUUUCCCGGUACGUGCUAGAUUCUAGAAAUGCAAUGGGAAACAAGUUAACUGCAAUCCCAUCCUAAGGUUUGCUAUGAGGGACUCUUAUUCUGGCUAACUAGUUUAUCAUCCCCUGGGUCCUCCUCAUACAUGCUAGAGUAACAACAGCAACAAGAGCUAGCCUUCCCUGCAUGGCAACCAGUCAAUACUUCCUGCAUAGAUUUAUGUGAGCUCGCCUUUCUGAACACAAACACUCAUACUUGCCCCAUAGUUUAGCCAUAAAGCAGAGUUACAACCCAGGGAGGUUGGCAAUUUUAAGGGUCUUAAAAUUUCAUCAGUCUCGACCAGAUUACAGCUUCAAAGCUCCUCCCUCCAAAACUGUGUUCACUGGGCUCCAUUCACACACAGGAAAACUGAAGCACUGAUGCAUGCCUUUGCCAAGGUUACCUGAUUAGCUGGUAGAGUUGGGGGUUUGAACCCACAAAGUCCAACACAGUGGUCCAUGUGCCUAAGCACUAUCUGUAGGCUUUGGGGGUGGGGGGACACUCCUACAUUAAAAUGAAUGAAUCAUUGUAUAUAGAAAUAUCUUGAGUUUGUAAGGUAGUAACUAAAAGAUAUUAGUACAUUAUAACUCAUUGUAGCCUACAAAUUACAUCAGAAACAAGAACAGGAUUAGAACUGCAUCUUAUGUGAUAGCAUACUCUCAUGAACUACAAUACAUCAAGCCAGGGACAGGCAUACAAGUUCAGAUCCAGAAAAUUUCUACUUGGGAAAAUGUUUCAAUGACUUCAGAAUUAUUCAUUGUCAGCCACUGUGUCUAUUUGGUGCUACAAAAAAAAAUGGAAAGAACAAAUACCCCUGAUUGAAGGGCUUAUAAAUACACAGUGUGGAGAUGAACCAAGGGCAUUUCAUAUUUAUAGAAAGGAUUGGCCAAUUGUACCGUUUCUCACCAUUGCAUGUACAUUGUCUCUCCAAUUGUUUUUGCAUUGUUUUUAUGAAAGAACUGCAAAAUUGUGCAGUGGUUCAACCUGACCAAAGUGGUAUUACGCUGCUGGGAAGUAAAUGUAUUAGAUACC